UUCCGAAAAGGUAAAUCCUGGGUAAUCAGGAGGCACAAAGCUACGGGUCCUUUUGAGAAUGUUAUUUGAAAGGACCGCCGGGCUGCCGAAG
Molecule: non-coding RNA, 91 nt
Filed under: Nitrospirota bacterium
Lineage: Bacteria; Pseudomonadati; Nitrospirota
Description: Nitrospirae bacterium c-di-GMP sequence
Rfam family: c-di-GMP-I-GGC riboswitch aptamer
Source: RNAcentral